This is an RNA transcript of Camellia sinensis, 1076 nucleotides long. It is a transcript of the gene named FK506-binding protein 16-2, with no coding region annotated. The record is from RefSeq and is a predicted model, not a curated record. Lineage: Eukaryota; Viridiplantae; Streptophyta; Magnoliopsida; Ericales; Theaceae.
AAGGGAAUGGAGGGGGUUGGUUUCCGGGGAAUAGUAAAGUGCAGAUUAAUAUACAAAAGAGUUUGGAUAGAGAAAUGGCGGUCUCUACGCUAUCCAUUGUCGUAACACCAAAACCUCACGCCCUCCAAACCUUCAAUCCCAAACUCUCUCUCACCUUCAAACCCUCCAAUGCUACCUAUUCUUGUUCGUCUUUUCGUUGCUCUUCCUCUCUCAAUUCUAAUUCUCCACCCAACAAUGUGAGGCGAGUAUUGGAUAUAGUAGGCCUUGGUCUUUUGGCCUCUUCUGUGGUGGCUUUGUUGCCGUUGGAUGCCUCCGCCACCCGAAUCGAGUACUAUGCCACGGUGGCUGAGCCGCCCUGUGAGCUCAACUUCGCUCGCUCUGGCCUGGGUUACUGCGAUCUUGCUGUUGGUUCCGGUGAGGUCGCUCCUCUCGGUGAGCUUGUCAAUAUUCACUACACUGCAAGGUUUGCUGAUGGGAUAGUUUUUGACAGCAGCUACAAACGAGGUCGACCUCUCACUAUGCGUAUCGGUCUUCGCAAAGUGAUAAAGGGAUUGGAUCAAGGAAUCUUAGGGGGUGACGGCGUACCCCCAAUGCUAGUUGGUGGAAGACGUAAACUUCAAAUUCCACCAAAGUUGGCAUAUGGGCCAGAACCUGCUGGCUGCUUUUCAGGGGACUGCAACAUACCUGCGAAUGCAACUCUUGUGUACGACAUCAACUUUGUUGGCAUCUACAAGGGAAAUAGGAAGUGAAGGAUGUCCAAUUCAUAUGAUAGCGAAUAUAUGACAAACCUGGGGCAAUGUGUUCCAAGUCUGUGGAGCAAAAGAGUGAAGAAUAGUUACCAAGUAUAGAUUGCAAGGUAAGCCAUAAUAUCAUGGCUGACAGAGCAAGUCACCUUUUGUAAGAAGAAUGAGAGAAGUGGUUGUUGCUUGUCAACUCAGCUUGAUUGCUUGGAACAACCAUCCUCAAUUACGUGUUAGAAUUUAGCUCAUCUUCAUCUUUUGUAUUUUGUAAUCGUGGAUCCUCCCAAAUUUGAUUAUGCUACAAGUUCUUUGAUUUUCCUCAAAAUUAUUUAAUGA